UGGGGAAUAUUGCACAAUGGGCGCAAGCCUGAUGCAGCCAUGCCGCGUGUAUGAAGAAGGCCUUCGGGUUGUAAAGUACUUUCAGUAGGGAGGAAGGUGGUUAAGUUAAUACCUUAAUCAUUUGACGUUACCUACAGAAGAAGCACCGGCUAACUCCGUGCCAGCAGCCGCGGUAAUACGGAGGGUGCAAGCGUUAAUCGGAAUUACUGGGCGUAAAGCGCAUGCAGGUGGUUUGUUAAGUCAGAUGUGAAAGCCCUGGGCUCAACCUAGGAAUCGCAUUUGAAACUGACAAGCUAGAGUACUGUAGAGGGGGGUAGAAUUUCAGGUGUAGCGGUGAAAUGCAUAGAGAUCUGAAGGAAUACCGGUGGCGAAGGCGGCCCCCCUGGACAGAUACUGACACUCAGAUGCGAAAGCGUGGGGAGCAAAACAGGAUUAGAUACCCUGGUAGUCCACGCCGGUAAAAGCAGAUGUCUACCUUUGGAGGUUGUGACCUAGAGUCGUGGCUUUCGAGCUAACGCGUUAAGUAGACCGCUGGGGAGUACGUCGCAAGAUUAAAGCUUAAAG
Molecule: ribosomal RNA, 564 nt
Filed under: uncultured bacterium
Lineage: Bacteria
Description: partial 16S ribosomal RNA
Rfam family: Bacterial small subunit ribosomal RNA
Source: RNAcentral